Molecule: long non-coding RNA, 347 nt
Filed under: Fukomys damarensis (Damara mole-rat)
Lineage: Eukaryota; Metazoa; Chordata; Mammalia; Rodentia; Bathyergidae
Description: lncRNA (ENSFDAG00000029675.1)
Source: RNAcentral
UUAUAGGUAGCUGCUUGUUCCCUGAGCCAGACAGUACCACUGUGGAGAGGCAGUGCUUCAGAUUCACCACCCUCCAGGGUCGCGACCAAGACCAGGCCAACACGAAGAACCAUGACCCACUUGGCAUCCUGCUUUUGUGGGACUAACUACUCCAGUGCCUGCUUUUCCAUGGGUCCUAGAGGGGGCUUUCUUUUGUCAAGAAACUGGUUCUUUUCUUUACCUCCUGCAAUUCCUCCAGCCAUGAAAGGGAAAGGAAGCAUUCAUCUGGGGACAGACUCAAGAAUGUUUGAUGGUAAAUAUUUUUAAAUGCAGCAUGACAUUAAAAAUAUGAAUCAAAAGGUCUUAUG